CAAAAAUAAUUAGGUAUUA
This 19-nucleotide small nuclear RNA is filed under the name Arabidopsis thaliana (thale cress). Its description in RNAcentral is "snRNA_09832". Lineage: Eukaryota; Viridiplantae; Streptophyta; Magnoliopsida; Brassicales; Brassicaceae. The record is from RNAcentral.